RNAcentral lists this transfer RNA (67 nucleotides) under Mecistogaster asticta. RNAcentral's name for it is "tRNA-Leu". The record is from RNAcentral. Lineage: Eukaryota; Metazoa; Arthropoda; Insecta; Odonata; Coenagrionidae.
GCUAAUUUGGCAGAAAAUUGCCAUGGGUUUAGAAUUCAUUUAUGUAAAUAAAUUUUUACAAUUAGUA